UACGAAGGGGGCUAGCGUUGCUCGGAAUCACUGGGCGUAAAGGGUGCGUAGGCGGGUCUUUAAGUCAGGGGUGAAAUCCUGGAGCUCAACUCCAGAACUGCCUUUGAUACUGAGGAUCUUGAGUUCGGGAGAGGUGAGUGGAACUGCGAGUGUAGAGGUGAAAUUCGUAGAUAUUCGCAAGAACACCAGUGGCGAAGGCGGCUCACUGGCCCGUAACUGACGCUGAGGCACGAAAGCGUGGGGAGCAAACAGG
This 253-nucleotide ribosomal RNA is filed under the name uncultured bacterium. RNAcentral's name for it is "partial 16S ribosomal RNA". It matches the Rfam family "Bacterial small subunit ribosomal RNA", at positions 524 to 776 of the family's 1533-position model. The record is from RNAcentral.